GGUUAAGCGACUAAGCGUACACGGUGGAUGCCCUGGCAGUCAGAGGCGAUGAAGGACGUGCUAAUCUGCGAAAAGCGUCGGUAAGGUGAUAUGAACCGUUACAGCCGGCGAUGUCCGAAUGGGGAAACCCAGUGUGAUUCGUCACACUAUCGUUAACUGAAUACAUAGGUUAACGAGGCGAACCGGGGGAACUGAAACAUCUAAGUACCCCGAGGAAAAGAAAUCAACCGAGAUUCCCCCAGUAGCGGCGAGCGAACGGGGAGCAGCCCAGAGUCUGAAUCAGCUUGUGUGUUAGUGGAACGGUCUGGAAAGUCCGACGGUACAGGGUGAUAGUCCCGUACACCAAAAUGCACAGGCUGUGAACUCGAAGAGUAGGGCGGGACACGUGGUAUCCUGUCUGAAUAUGGGGGACCAUCCUCCAAGGCUAAAUACUCCUGACUGACCGAUAGUGAACCAGUACCGUGAGGGAAAGGCGAAAAGAACCCCGGCGAGGGGAGUGAAAAAGAACCUGAAACCGUGUACGUACAAGCAGUGGGAGCACCUUCGGGUGUGACUGCGUACCUUUUGUAUAAUGGGUCAGCGACUUAUAUUCUGUAGCAAGGUUAACCGUAUAGGGGAGCCGCAGGGAAACCGAGUCUUAACUGGGCGUUAAGUUGCAGGGUAUAGACCCGAAACCCGGUGAUCUAGCCAUGGGCAGGUUGAAGGUUGGGUAACACUAACUGGAGGGCCGAACCGACUAAUGUUGAAAAAUUAGCGGAUGACUUGUGGCUGGGGGUGAAAGGCCAAUCAAACCGGGAGAUAGCUGGUUCUCCCCGAAAGCUAUUUAGGUAGCGCCUCGUGAAUUCAUCUUCGGGGGUAGAGCACUGUUUCGGCUAGGGGGUCAUCCCGACUUACCAACCCGAUGCAAACUACGAAUACCGAAGAAUGUUAUCACGGGAGACACACGGCGGGUGCUAACGUCCGUCGUGAAGAGGGAAACAACCCAGACCGCCAGCUAAGGUCCCAAAGUCAUGGUUAAGUGGGAAACGAUGUGGGAAGGCACAGACAGCCAGGAUGUUGGCUUAGAAGCAGCCAUCAUUUAAAGAAAGCGUAAUAGCUCACUGGUCGAGUCGGCCUGCGCGGAAGAUGUAACGGGGCUAAACCAUGCACCGAAGCUGCGGCAGCGACACUAUGUGUUGUUGGGUAGGGGAGCGUUCUGUAAGCCUGCGAAGGUGACCUGUGAGGGUUGCUGGAGGUAUCAGAAGUGCGAAUGCUGACAUAAGUAACGAUAAAGCGGGUGAAAAGCCCGCUCGCCGGAAGACCAAGGGUUCCUGUCCAACGUUAAUCGGGGCAGGGUGAGUCGACCCCUAAGGCGAGGCCGAAAGGCGUAGUCGAUGGGAAACAGGUUAAUAUUCCUGUACUUGGUGUUACUGCGAAGGGGGGACGGAGAAGGCUAUGUUAGCCGGGCGACGGUUGUCCCGGUUUAAGCAUGUAGGCUGGUUGUCCAGGCAAAUCCGGAUAAUCAAGGCUGAGGUGUGAUGACGAGGCACUACGGUGCUGAAGUAACAAAUGCCCUGCUUCCAGGAAAAGCCUCUAAGCAUCAGGUAACAUCAAAUCGUACCCCAAACCGACACAGGUGGUCAGGUAGAGAAUACCAAGGCGCUUGAGAGAACUCGGGUGAAGGAACUAGGCAAAAUGGUGCCGUAACUUCGGGAGAAGGCACGCUGGUGUGUAGGUGAAGUCCCUGCGGAUGGAGCUGAGACCAGUCGAAGAUACCAGCUGGCUGCAACUGUUUAUUAAAAACACAGCACUGUGCAAACACGAAAGUGGACGUAUACGGUGUGACGCCUGCCCGGUGCCGGAAGGUUAAUUGAUGGGGUUAUCCGUAAGGAGAAGCUCUUGAUCGAAGCCCCGGUAAACGGCGGCCGUAACUAUAACGGUCCUAAGGUAGCGAAAUUCCUUGUCGGGUAAGUUCCGACCUGCACGAAUGGCGUAAUGAUGGCCAGGCUGUCUCCACCCGAGACUCAGUGAAAUUGAACUCGCUGUGAAGAUGCAGUGUACCCGCGGCAAGACGGAAAGACCCCGUGAACCUUUACUAUAGCUUGACACUGAACAUUGAGCCUUGAUGUGUAGGAUAGGUGGGAGGCUUUGAAGCGUGGACGCCAGUCUGCGUGGAGCCAACCUUGAAAUACCACCCUUUAAUGUUUGAUGUUCUAACGUUGGCCCCUUAUCGGGGUUGCGGACAGUGUCUGGUGGGUAGUUUGACUGGGGCGGUCUCCUCCCAAAGCGUAACGGAGGAGCACGAAGGUUAGCUAAUCCUGGUCGGACAUCAGGAGGUUAGUGCAAUGGCAUAAGCUAGCUUGACUGCGAGCGUGACGGCGCGAGCAGGUGCGAAAGCAGGUCAUAGUGAUCCGGUGGUUCUGAAUGGAAGGGCCAUCGCUCAACGGAUAAAAGGUACUCCGGGGAUAACAGGCUGAUACCGCCCAAGAGUUCAUAUCGACGGCGGUGUUUGGCACCUCGAUGUCGGCUCAUCACAUCCUGGGGCUGAAGUAGGUCCCAAGGGUAUGGCUGUUCGCCAUUUAAAGUGGUACGCGAGCUGGGUUUAGAACGUCGUGAGACAGUUCGGUCCCUAUCUGCCGUGGGCGCUGGAGAAUUGAGGGGGCUGCUCCUAGUACGAGAGGACCGGAGUGGACGCAUCACUGGUGUUCGGGUUGUCAUGCCAAUGGCACUGCCCGGUAGCUAAAUGCGGAAGAGAUAAGUGCUGAAAGCAUCUAAGCACGAAACUUGCCCCGAGAUGAGUUCUCCCUGAGACUUUAAGUCUCCUGAAGGAACGUUAAAGACGAUGACGUUGAUAGGCCGGGUGUGUAAGCGCAGCGAUGCGUUGAGCUAACCGGUACUAAUGAACCGUGAGGCUUAACCUU
RNAcentral lists this ribosomal RNA (2900 nucleotides) under Klebsiella pneumoniae. RNAcentral's name for it is "23S ribosomal RNA". It matches the Rfam family "Bacterial large subunit ribosomal RNA". Lineage: Bacteria; Pseudomonadati; Pseudomonadota; Gammaproteobacteria; Enterobacterales; Enterobacteriaceae. The record is from RNAcentral.